GACGAACGCUGGCGGCGUGCUUAACACAUGCAAGUCGAACGGAAAGGCCCUGCUUUUGUGGGGUGCUCGAGUGGCGAACGGGUGAGUAACACGUGAGUAACCUGCCCUUUACUUUGGUAUAACUUCAGAAAACUGUUGCUAAUACCUGAUAGCAGCUCCUGCUGCCUGGUGGGGGUUGGACAGUUUCGGCGGUUGGGGAUGGACUCGCGGCUUACCAGCUUGUUGGUUGGGUAGUGGCUUACCAAGGCUUUGACGGGUAGCCGGCCUGAGAGGGUGACCGGCCACAAUGGGACUGAGAUAAGGCGCAGACUCGUACGGGAGGCAGAAGUGGGGAAUAUUGAACAAGAGGCGGAAGCCUGAUGCAGAAACGCCGCGUGCGGGAUGACGGCCUGCGGGUUGUAAACCGCUUUCGCCUGUGACGAAGCGUGAGUGAAGGUAAUGGGUAAAGAAGCACCGGCUAACUACGUG
RNAcentral lists this ribosomal RNA (468 nucleotides) under uncultured bacterium. RNAcentral's name for it is "partial 16S ribosomal RNA". It matches the Rfam family "Bacterial small subunit ribosomal RNA", at positions 28 to 507 of the family's 1533-position model. The record is from RNAcentral.